RNAcentral lists this ribosomal RNA (253 nucleotides) under uncultured bacterium. RNAcentral describes it as "partial 16S ribosomal RNA". It matches the Rfam family "Bacterial small subunit ribosomal RNA", at positions 524 to 776 of the family's 1533-position model. The record is from RNAcentral.
AACGUAGGAGACAAACGUUAUCCGGAGUUACUGGGCGUAAAGGGCGUGUAGGCGGUUAGUUAAGUCUGGCGUGAAAGCUCUCGGCUAAACCGGGAGAGGUCGUUGGAUACUGGCUGACUGGAGGACGGUAGAGGCGUGUGGAAUUCCGGGUGUAGUGGUGAAAUGCGUAGAGAUCCGGAGGAACACCAGUGGCGAAGGCGACACGCUGGGCCGUACCUGACGCUAAAGCGCGACAGCAUGGGGAGCAAACGGG